CCCUUAGAUGUUCUGGGCCGCACGCGCGCUACACUGAUGCAUUCAACGAGUCCAACCUUGACCGAGAGGUCCGGGUAAUCUUUGAAACUGCAUCGUGAUGGGGCUAGAUUAUUGCAAUUAUUAAUCUUCAACGAGGAAUGCCUAGUAAGCGUGAUUCAUCAAAUCGCGUUGAUUACGCCCCUGCCCUUUGUACACACCGCCCGUCGCUCCUACCGAUUGAGUGUGUUGGUGAGGAGUUUGGAUUGGCCUCGGAAGGUGGUUCGCCACCGUCCGUAGCUGAGAAGUUCUCCAAACCGCCCCACUUAGAGGAAGGAGAAGUCGUAACA
RNAcentral lists this ribosomal RNA (326 nucleotides) under uncultured eukaryote. RNAcentral's name for it is "partial 18S ribosomal RNA". It matches the Rfam family "Eukaryotic small subunit ribosomal RNA", at positions 1470 to 1796 of the family's 1831-position model. The record is from RNAcentral.